AUUGAACGCUGGCGGCAGGCCUAACACAUGCAAGUCGAGCGGUAGCACAGGAGAGCUUGCUCUCUGGGUGACGAGCGGCGGACGGGUGAGUAAUGUCUGGGAAACUGCCUGAUGGAGGGGGAUAACUACUGGAAACGGUAGCUAAUACCGCAUAACGUCUUCGGACCAAAGAGGGGGACCUUCGGGCCUCUUGCCAUCAGAUGUGCCCAGAUGGGAUUAGCUAGUAGGUGAGGUAAUGGCUCACCUAGGCGACGAUCCCUAGCUGGUCUGAGAGGAUGACCAGCCACACUGGAACUGAGACACGGUCCAGACUCCUACGGGUGGCAG
This 327-nucleotide ribosomal RNA is filed under the name uncultured Pseudomonadota bacterium. RNAcentral's name for it is "bacterial SSU rRNA". It matches the Rfam family "Bacterial small subunit ribosomal RNA", at positions 30 to 351 of the family's 1533-position model. The record is from RNAcentral. Lineage: Bacteria; Pseudomonadati; Pseudomonadota.